This is a non-coding RNA of Drosophila pseudoobscura pseudoobscura, 165 nucleotides long. NCBI's taxonomy places the organism in Eukaryota, Metazoa, Arthropoda, Insecta, Diptera, Drosophilidae. The record is from Rfam.
CCAUUGCUUCAUCAUUGUAUUUAAAAUGUAUAAUAUAUUCAUUACCUAAAAUUAGUACAGAUUUUACUGGGGGUGUUUAGUCCGUAGGCGUGUUUUUCAACAUGAAUCGGGCAUGCCCUUUAGCGACGGCGUUAAAGAGUAUCUUAAGAAGAUUCACCUAUAUAC